GACGAACGCUGGCGGCGUGCUUAACACAUGCAAGUCGAACGAUGAAACCUAGCUUGCUAGGUCGAUUAGUGGCGAACGGGUGAGUAACACGUGACUAACCUGCCCCUUUCUCUGGGAUAACGCUCCGAAAGGAGUGCUAAUACCGGAUACUCACAUCGAGGCACAUGCCUUGAUGUGGAAAGUUUUUCGGAAAGGGAUGGAGUCGCGGCCUAUCAGCUUGUUGGUGAGGUAACGGCUCACCAAGGCGACGACGGGUAGCCGGCCUGAGAGGGCGACCGGCCACACUGGGACUGAGACACGGCCCAGACUCCUACGGGAGGCAGCAGUGGGGAAUAUUGCACAAUGGGCGAAAGCCUGAUGCAGCGACGCCGCGUGAGGGAUGAAGGUCUUCGGAUUGUAAACCUCUUUCAGUAGGGACGAAGCGAAAGUGACGGUACCUAAAGAAGAAGCACCGGCUAACUACGUGCCAGCAGCCGCCGUAA
Molecule: ribosomal RNA, 482 nt
Filed under: uncultured bacterium
Lineage: Bacteria
Description: partial 16S ribosomal RNA
Rfam family: Bacterial small subunit ribosomal RNA
Source: RNAcentral